Molecule: transfer RNA, 45 nt
Filed under: Artoria separata
Lineage: Eukaryota; Metazoa; Arthropoda; Arachnida; Araneae; Lycosidae
Description: partial tRNA-Leu
Source: RNAcentral
AUUAGAAUCUAAUAAUAUGAUAAUAUCUUUAUUAAAUUUCAUUAU